GGCUGCGGCAGCUACACAUGCAGUCGAGCGGAGUGGUGGUGCUUGCACUAUCACUUAGCGGCGGACGGGUGAGUAAUGCUUAUGAAUCUGCCUAUUAGUGGGGGACAACAUUUCCAAAGGAAUGCUAAUACCGCAUACGUCCUACGGGAGAAAGCAGGGGAUCUUCGGACCUUGCGCUAAUAGAUGAGCCUAAGUCGGAUUAGCUAGUUGGUGGGGUAAAGGCCUACCAAGGCGACGAUCUGUACCGGGUCUGAGAGGAUGAUCCGCCACACUGGGACUGAGACACAGCCCAGACUCCUACGGGAGGCAGCAGUGGGGAAUAUUGGACAAUGGGCGCAAGCCUGAUCCAGCCAUGCCGCGUGUGUGAAGAAGGCCUUAUGGUUGUAAAGCACUUUAAGCGAGGAGGAGGCUACUUGAGUUAAUACCUAGAGAUAGUGGACGUUACUCGCAGAAUAAGCACCGGCUAACUCUGUGCCAGCAGCCGCGGUAAUACAAAGGGUGCAAGCGUUAAUCGGAUUUACUGGGCGUAAAGCGCGCGUAGGCGGCUAAUUAAGUCAAAUGUGAAAUCCCCGAGCUUAACUUGGGAAUUGCAUUCGAUACUGGUUAGCUAGAGUGUGGGAGAGGAUGGUAGAAUUCCAGGUGUAGCGGUGAAAUGCGUAGAGAUCUGGAGGAAUACCGAUGGCGAAGGCAGCCAUCUGGCCUAACACUGACGCUGACGUGCGAAAGCAUGGGGAGCAAACAGGAUUAGAUACCCUGGUAGUCCAUGCCGUAAACGAUGUCUACUAGCCGUUGGGGCGUUUGAGGCUUUAGUGGCGCAGCUAACGCGAUAAGUAGACCGCCUGGGGAGUACGGUCGCAAGACUAAAACUCAAAUGAAUUGACUGGGGGCCCGCACAAGCGGUGGAGCAUGUGGUUUUAUUUCGAUGCAACGCGAAGAACCUUACCUGGCCUUGACAUACUAAGAACUUUCCAGAGAUGGAUUGGUGGCUUCGGGAACUUACAUACAGUGCUGCAUGGCUGUCGUCAGCUCGUGUCGUGAGAUGUUGGUUAAGUACCCGCAACGAGCGCAACCCUCUUCUUAUUUGGCAGCGAGUAUGUCGGGAAGCUUCAGGAAUACUGCAGUGACAAACUGCAGAGCGGGACGACGUCAGUCAUCAUGGCCCUACGGCAGGCUGACACACUGGCCUACACAUGGGGUCCGGUUACAAAGGAUAUGCGUACACAUAGCCCCG
Molecule: ribosomal RNA, 1231 nt
Filed under: Acinetobacter sp.
Lineage: Bacteria; Pseudomonadati; Pseudomonadota; Gammaproteobacteria; Moraxellales; Moraxellaceae
Description: bacterial SSU rRNA
Rfam family: Bacterial small subunit ribosomal RNA
Source: RNAcentral